UACAAUGGAGAGUUUGAUCCUGGCUCAGGAUGAACGCUAGCGGGAGGCCUAACACAUGCAAGCCGAGCGGUAGAGAUUCUUCGGAAUCUUGAGAGCGGCGCACGGGUGCGGAACACGUGUGCAACCUGCCUUUAUCUGGGGGAUAGCCUUUCGAAAGGAAGAUUAAUACCCCAUAAUAUAUUGAGUGGCAUCACUUGAUAUUGAAAACUCCGGUGGAUAGAGAUGGGCACGCGCAAGAUUAGAUAGUUGGUGAGGUAACGGCUCACCAAGUCAAUGA
Molecule: ribosomal RNA, 277 nt
Filed under: Chryseobacterium sp. Hurlbut01
Lineage: Bacteria; Pseudomonadati; Bacteroidota; Flavobacteriia; Flavobacteriales; Weeksellaceae
Description: partial 16S ribosomal RNA
Rfam family: Bacterial small subunit ribosomal RNA
Source: RNAcentral